CCUACGUGAGGCAGCAGUGAGGAAUAUUGGUCAAUGGGCGCGAGCCUGAACCAGCCAAGUAGCGUGAAGGAUGACUGCCCUACGGGUUGUAAACUUCUUUUAUAAAGGAAUAAAGUGAGGCACGUGUGCCUUUUUGUAUGUACUUUAUGAAUAAGGAUCGGCUAACUCCGUGCCAGCAGCCGCGGUAAUACGGAGGAUCCGAGCGUUAUCCGGAUUUAUUGGGUUUAAAGGGAGCGUAGAUGGGUUGUUAAGUCAGUUGUGAAAGUUUGCGGCUCAACCGUAAAAUUGCAAUUGAUACUGGCAGUCUUGAGUACAGGUGAGGUAGGCGGAAUUCGUGGUGUAGCGGUGAAAUGCUUAGAUAUCACGAAGAACUCCGAUUGCGAAGGCAGCUUACUAAACUGCCACUGACAUUGAUGCUCGAAAGUGUGGGUAUCAAACAGGAUUAGAUACCCCAGUAGUC
Molecule: ribosomal RNA, 460 nt
Filed under: uncultured bacterium
Lineage: Bacteria
Description: partial 16S ribosomal RNA
Rfam family: Bacterial small subunit ribosomal RNA
Source: RNAcentral